CCCCUCUCAGGGUCGCACCUGGUGAGUUUCCAGUCCUCUACCAGUCUCGGCUAAGGGAGGGAGAGUCGAGCAGAGGCCUACCGAUUCCACUCCUAGCUUGGGCAGUGGCUAGUGAGUGGAAGGCAAUCUGCUAAAAGU
RNAcentral lists this small nucleolar RNA (138 nucleotides) under Ornithorhynchus anatinus (platypus). Lineage: Eukaryota; Metazoa; Chordata; Mammalia; Monotremata; Ornithorhynchidae. The record is from RNAcentral.